AUUUUAAUGUGGGGCUUUGUUUGGUUCUACAGGGUUAUCGUUUUUUAUAUUUAAGUUGAAAAAAGGGUAAAGGAAAUAAUGGCACCAGCUACUAACUGGCUUUCCUUUUCACUCUCUCCAAUGGAAAUGUUGAGGUCAUCUGAAUCUCAGUUCAUAUACGAGGGCUCCUCCACUGCCUCUCCACACUACUUGAUGGAUAACUUCUAUGCUAACGGUUGGGGAAGUUCCAAGGAAGCCCAAGGAGUAACAACAAUGGCGGAGGCUUCCAUUCUCACAAGCUUUAUAGACCCAGAAGCCCACCACCCACAAGCACCAAAACUCGAGGACUUUCUCGGGGAUUCAUCAUCAAUUGUUCGAUACUCGGACAAUAGCCAAACAGAGACCCAGGACUCAUCUCUGACUCACAUCUAUGACCACGGCUCUGCUGCUUACUUCAACGACCAACAAGAUCUCAAGGCGAUUGCUGGGUUCCAAGCAUUUUCAACGAACUCGGGGUCGGAGGUUGAUGACUCGGCGUCAAUGGCCCGGACUCAGAUUGUUGGCGGUGAGUUUGUGGGUCACUCGAUUGAAUCUAGUGGAAACGAGCUGGGGUUCUCUAAUUGCACUGGUGGAAAUAAUGCGCUGUCACUUGGGAUUAGCAAUCAGAGUUCCGCAGAGAAGGCUAUUGUUCCAGCUGAAUCUGACUGCCCUAAAAAGAUUGCCGAAACUUUUGGCCAGCGAACUUCAAUUUACAGAGGAGUCACUAG
Molecule: unclassified non-coding RNA, 746 nt
Filed under: Hevea brasiliensis (rubber tree)
Lineage: Eukaryota; Viridiplantae; Streptophyta; Magnoliopsida; Malpighiales; Euphorbiaceae
Source: RNAcentral